ACUGAGCACACGGUCCAACAUCCCAUACGGGAGGCAGCAGUAGGAAUCUUGCUGCAAUGGGCGAAAGCCUGACGCAGCCAUGCCGCCGUGAAUGAUGAAGGUCUUAGGAUUGUAAAAGUUCUUUCAGCCGGUGGCAAGACUAAUGACGGUACCCGGAGAAGAAGCCCCGGCUAACUUCGUGCCAGCUAGCCGCGGUAAUACGAGGGGGGCAAGCGUUGUUCGGAAUUAUUGGGCGUAAAGGGCGCGUAGGCGGCCUGACAAGUCUUGUGUGAAAUCUUCGGGCUCAACUCGAAGUCUGCACGAGAAACUGUCUGGCUUGAGUGUGGGAGAGGUGAGUGGAAUUCCCGGUGUAGCGGUGAACAU
This 363-nucleotide ribosomal RNA is filed under the name uncultured bacterium. RNAcentral's name for it is "bacterial SSU rRNA". It matches the Rfam family "Bacterial small subunit ribosomal RNA", at positions 318 to 687 of the family's 1533-position model. The record is from RNAcentral.